Acanthopagrus latus (yellowfin seabream) is the source of this 289-nucleotide long non-coding RNA. RefSeq lists it as uncharacterized. Lineage: Eukaryota; Metazoa; Chordata; Actinopteri; Spariformes; Sparidae. The record is from RefSeq and is a predicted model, not a curated record. The transcript has 2 exons.
GGAACAACACCCCGUCUGUCAUCUCUGUCGGCUCCUGGUUCAGACGCCGGACUCACAGAUGCAGACUGGUCCGCACAUUGUGACACACACAGCGCUCAUUGUGUUGGAGGGGAGGGAACAACACACGGUGUGUAGUUCAGUUCAUUAAAACAUUAAAACAUCCGCAUCUGCACACAUCUGUAACAAUGACUCAGGUGUCAGAAUCGGCUUCAUCAGUUCCAAGAAUGUGGAAAUAACCAAGAAAUGUGUCUCUCUGUGUUCAAGGGAAGAGUGGUACGAACAUUAGAUU